Molecule: ribosomal RNA, 259 nt
Filed under: Entomoneis paludosa
Lineage: Eukaryota; Bacillariophyta; Bacillariophyceae; Surirellales; Surirellaceae
Description: Amphiprora paludosa partial Eukaryotic small subunit ribosomal RNA
Rfam family: Eukaryotic small subunit ribosomal RNA
Source: RNAcentral
CAAAUUUGUACUGUGAAACUGCGAAUGGCUCAUUAAAUCAGUUAUAGUUUAUUUGAUGGUACAUUGCUACAUGGAUAACUGUGGUAAUUCUAGAGCUAAUACAUGCAAUCAAGCCCCGACUUCUGGGAGGGGUGUAUUUAUUAGAUAAAAAACCAACGCGGUUCGCCGCUCCCUUGGUGAUUCAUAAUAACUUCUCGAAUCGCAUGGCCUUGUGCCGGCGAUGCUUCAUUCAAAUAUCUGCCCUAUCAACUUUCGAUGG